ACGUUCUCCGGGAGACACCAAGCAAGUAACCCCCACAAAACCUGAUGGGCAGAGCCAAGACAGAAUGCGUGCCUCUUACAGGGACCAAAAUUCAUCCAAUUCCCUUCUGGAAAGGACCUCUGCCACCGUCUCCCAGGCACCACCCAGAAAGGCUGAGAGGAAAAGGUCGGGAGUCGCCGGGUCCAGGUCGGGAUGGACAUGGGGCGCAAGGACGGUGGCCUUGGUGGUCCCGGCGAGGGCGGCACACAGGGUAGGUGCUCUUGGAAUGCCUGUUGAAGGAAAAGGCUCUGAACGGGCACUUGGGGACAGAACACGGGAAGCGCGCUGACAUUCUGAGGCGCCUGCAACCCUCUGCGCUCCGAGGGUCAGGUCAGGUCCGGCCGGCUC
Non-coding RNA from Manis javanica (Malayan pangolin), 387 nucleotides. NCBI's taxonomy places the organism in Eukaryota, Metazoa, Chordata, Mammalia, Pholidota, Manidae. The record is from RefSeq and is a predicted model, not a curated record.